AGAGUUUGAUCAUGGCUCAGAUUGAACGCUGGCGGCAGGCCUAACACAUGCAAGUCGAGCGGUAACAGGGGUAGCUUGCUACCCGCUGACGAGCGGCGGACGGGUGAGUAACGCGUGAGAAUCUGCCCAUUAGUGGGGGAUAACCCGGGGAAACUCGGGCUAAUACCGCAUACGUCCUACGGGACAAAGCAGGGGACCUUUUGGCCUUGCGCUGAUGGAUGAGCUCGCGUCGGAUUAGCUUGUUGGUGAGGUAAAGGCUCACCAAGGCGACGAUCCGUAGCUGGUCUGAGAGGAUGAUCAGCCACACCGGGACUGAGACACGGCCCGGACUCCUACGGGAGGCAGCAGUGGGGAAUCUUGGACAAUGGGGGCAACCCUGAUCCAGCCAUGCCGCGUGUGUGAAGAAGGCCUUCGGGUUGUAAAGCACUUUCAGUAGGGAGGAAGGCUUUCGGUUAAUACCCGGGAGUACUUGACGUUACCUACAGAAGAAGCACCGGCUAAUUUCGUGCCAGCAGCCGCGGUAAU
RNAcentral lists this ribosomal RNA (525 nucleotides) under Alloalcanivorax marinus. Its description in RNAcentral is "bacterial SSU rRNA". It matches the Rfam family "Bacterial small subunit ribosomal RNA", at positions 8 to 524 of the family's 1533-position model. Lineage: Bacteria; Pseudomonadati; Pseudomonadota; Gammaproteobacteria; Oceanospirillales; Alcanivoracaceae. The record is from RNAcentral.